This 19-nucleotide unclassified non-coding RNA is filed under the name Aquifex aeolicus. RNAcentral describes it as "putative small non-coding RNA". The record is from RNAcentral. Lineage: Bacteria; Pseudomonadati; Aquificota; Aquificia; Aquificales; Aquificaceae.
GCGAGCUCUGCUACGAUAG